RNAcentral lists this ribosomal RNA (791 nucleotides) under Streptomyces dioscori. Its description in RNAcentral is "bacterial SSU rRNA". It matches the Rfam family "Bacterial small subunit ribosomal RNA", at positions 86 to 888 of the family's 1533-position model. Lineage: Bacteria; Bacillati; Actinomycetota; Actinomycetes; Kitasatosporales; Streptomycetaceae. The record is from RNAcentral.
GUGGUGAUAGUGGCGAACGGGUGAGUAACACGUGGGCAAUCUGCCCUUCACUCUGGGACAAGCCCUGGAAACGGGGUCUAAUACCGGAUACCACUCCCGCACGCAUCUGUGGGGGUUGAAAGCUCCGGCGGUGAAGGAUGAGCCCGCGGCCUAUCAGCUUGUUGGUGAGGUAAUGGCUCACCAAGGCGACGACGGGUAGCCGGCCUGAGAGGGCGACCGGCCACACUGGGACUGAGACACGGCCCAGACUCCUACGGCGAGGCAGCAGUGGGGAAUAUUGCACAAUGGGCGAAAGCCUGAUGCAGCGACGCCGCGUGAGGGAUGACGGCCUUCGGGUUGUAAACCUCUUUCAGCAGGGAAGAAGCGAAAGUGACGGUACCUGCAGAAGAAGCGCCGGCUAACUACGUGCCAGCAGCCGCGGUAAUACGUAGGGCGCAAGCGUUGUCCGGAAUUAUUGGGCGUAAAGAGCUCGUAGGCGGUCUGUCGCGUCGGAUGUGAAAGCCCGGGGCUUAACCCCGGGUCUGCAUUCGAUACGGGCAGACUAGAGUGUGGUAGGGGAGAUCGGAAUUCCUGGUGUAGCGGUGAAAUGCGCAGAUAUCAGGAGGAACACCGGUGGCGAAGGCGGAUCUCUGGGCCAUUACUGACGCUGAGGAGCGAAAGCGUGGGGAGCGAACAGGAUUAGAUACCCUGGUAGUCCACGCCGUAAACGGUGGGAACUAGGUGUUGGCGACAUUCCACGUCGUCGGUGCCGCAGCUAACGCAUUAAGUUCCCCGCCUGAGGAGUACGGCCG